Molecule: ribosomal RNA, 460 nt
Filed under: uncultured bacterium
Lineage: Bacteria
Description: partial 16S ribosomal RNA
Rfam family: Bacterial small subunit ribosomal RNA
Source: RNAcentral
CCUACGGGUGGCAGCAGUGAGGAAUAUUGGUCAAUGGCCGGAAGGCUGAACCAGCCAUGCCGCGUGAAGGUCAGUGCCCUAUGGGCGUUAAACUUCUUUUGUGCGGGAGCAAUAAUGGUCACGUGUGGCCAGACGAGAGGACCGUACGAAUAAGCAUCGGCUAACUCCGUGCCAGCAGCCGCGGUAAUACGGGGGAUGCAAGCGUUAUCCGGAUUUAUUGUGUUUAAAGGGUGCGUAGGCUGUGAGGUAAGUCAGCGGUGAAAUGCCCCCGCUCAACGGGGUGAAGUGCCAUUGAUACUGCCUUGCUUGAAUGCGGAUGCCGUGGGAGGAAUGUGUGGUGUAGCGGUGAACUGCAUAGAUAUCACACAGAACACCGAUUGCGAAGGCAUCUCACGAAUCCGCGAUUGACGCUGAUGCACGAAAGCGUGGGUAUCAAACAGGAUUAGAUACCCUAGUAGUC